UACGCUCAUAUACAAUAGCUCUUUACAACUAUAUUUGUUAUGACCUUUACUAUAGUUAAUUUUUACAAAGGAUAUGAUGAUAUGAUAUGUCACACCAAGUUUUUUUAAAUCAGAAAUAUGUAGAACAUCUAAAAGACCAGAACUACACCUCUGAAAGGUUUUCCAUCAGCAUCUAUAUCAAUCAGAUUUUCAUCUUCUCUACAUUCGUGCUGUUUGGACACAAGUCUUUGAACUUUGAUGUGAAGUUCAAUUCUUUUUGGAGGUGUUAUGGGUAUGUGGGGACAAAGAUAUAGCCAGACACAUCUAUCAGAUCUCCCUGCAUAUGCUGAUGAAUUCAGACAGAGAUGGGCAGAGACUGAGUUUGAGACUGAGUUUGCAGCCCACAGAGGUCAAUGAAAAAAUAAGGGAUUUUAAAUUACUUGCAACUUGCAUUGUCAUAAUCACUCAUGGUAAGGAAUUAUAUGAGAAUAAAUUAA
Long non-coding RNA from Xyrauchen texanus (razorback sucker), 476 nucleotides. RefSeq lists it as uncharacterized. The record is from RefSeq and is a predicted model, not a curated record. Lineage: Eukaryota; Metazoa; Chordata; Actinopteri; Cypriniformes; Catostomidae. The transcript has 4 exons.